RNAcentral lists this ribosomal RNA (492 nucleotides) under uncultured bacterium. RNAcentral describes it as "partial 16S ribosomal RNA". It matches the Rfam family "Bacterial small subunit ribosomal RNA", at positions 29 to 507 of the family's 1533-position model. The record is from RNAcentral.
AGUGAACGCUGGCGGUAGGCCUAACACAUGCAAGUCGAACGGCAGCACAGUAAGAGCUUGCUCUUACGGGUGGCGAGUGGCGGACGGGUGAGGAAUACAUCGGAAUCUACUUUUUCGUGGGGGAUAACGUAGGGAAACUUACGCUAAUACCGCAUACGACAUACGGGUGAAAGCAGGGGAUCUUCGGAACUUGCGCGAUUGAAUGAGCCGAUGUCGGAUUAGCUAGUUGGCGGGGUAAAGGCCCACCAAGGCGACGAUCCGUAGCUGGUCUGAGAGGAUGAUCAGCCACACUGGAACUGAGACACGGUCCAGACUCCUACGGGAGGCAGCGGUGGGGAAUAUUGGACAAUGGGCGCAAGCCUGAUCCAGCCAUACCGCGUGGGUGAAGAAGGCCUUCGGGUUGUAAAGCCCUUUUGUUGGGAAAGAAAAGCAGCAGGUUAAUACCCCGCUGUUCUGACGGUACCCAAAGAAUAAGCACCGGCUAACUUCGUG